Molecule: non-coding RNA, 28 nt
Filed under: Rattus norvegicus (Norway rat)
Lineage: Eukaryota; Metazoa; Chordata; Mammalia; Rodentia; Muridae
Source: RNAcentral
UAUCCAUUUCUGAACUCCUCUGGGCUCU